UUAGGCUACUGUGAAAGAAUCGUUUGCCGGCAAGCGGCAGUUGCACGUGUUUCUCGCCUGAUUUUCGUUCAUUUUAAAUUCGCUCGCGAAUUAAACAAGUUUCUGAAAGAGAGCAGCACGAGCUGACUGACAGCGAGAGAGGCGUUCUAUUGUUCUCUAAGCUUUGUCUUUGAGGAAUGAAACCAUUCGAUUUUUGAAUUCACCGAAAGUGCCGACAACUUCUGGAAUAUAUUGGAUUAAACAUUGCCAGAUAAUUGCAGCGCCAUUUAAUCAUCGUUUGACGCAAUUUACUGAUUGAUGUCUCUGCUACAUGGGUAGAUAAAGUAAUUCGGCCACUUGAUCAAUACAAAAAACAUAUGGAUAAGGCACACCCAUCGUAUUACACACUCCAACGUUGUCAUAUAAAUGCCUAACGGUAUAAUCCACUUGACAACAUGACGAAAACUGAGCCAGACACUCGAAAUAAAUCCAAAAGUAUGCAACGGAUUUAUGUGGAUUCAUAUCAUGGCAGCCAAAAGUAUGCAAUAGUUUUGAACCAAAGC
Long non-coding RNA from Drosophila albomicans, 542 nucleotides. RefSeq lists it as uncharacterized. The transcript has 4 exons. The record is from RefSeq and is a predicted model, not a curated record. NCBI's taxonomy places the organism in Eukaryota, Metazoa, Arthropoda, Insecta, Diptera, Drosophilidae.